This 351-nucleotide ribosomal RNA is filed under the name uncultured bacterium. RNAcentral describes it as "bacterial SSU rRNA". It matches the Rfam family "Bacterial small subunit ribosomal RNA", at positions 29 to 409 of the family's 1533-position model. The record is from RNAcentral.
AACGAACGCUGGCGGCAUGCCUAACACAUGCAAGUCGAACGAAGCCUUCGGGCUUAGUGGCGCACGGGUGCGUAACGCGUGGGAAUCUGCCCUUGGGUUCGGAAUAACAGUUAGAAAUGACUGCUAAUACCGAAUGAUGUCUUCGGACCAAAGAUUUAUCGCCCAAGGAUGAGCCCGCGUCGGAUUAGCUAGUUGGUGAGGUAAAGGCUCACCAAGGCGACGAUCCGUAGCUGGUUUGAGAGGAUGAUCAGCCACACUGGGACUGAGACACGGCCCAGACUCCUACGGAGGCAGCAGUGGGGAAUAUUGGACAAUGGGCGAAAGCCUGAUCAGCAAUGCCGCGUGAGUGAU